RNAcentral lists this ribosomal RNA (877 nucleotides) under uncultured archaeon. RNAcentral describes it as "bacterial SSU rRNA". It matches the Rfam family "Archaeal small subunit ribosomal RNA", at positions 4 to 882 of the family's 1478-position model. The record is from RNAcentral.
CUGGUUGAUCCUGCCAGAGGUUACUGCUAUCGAGAUUCGACUAAGCCAUGCGAGUCGAAUGUUCUUCGUGAACAUGGCGAACUGCUCAGUAACACGUGGACAACCUACCCUUGGGUUCGGCAUAAUCCUGGGAAACUGGGGAUAAUACCGGAUAGGUCACAGCUGCUGGAAUGCACUGUGGCUCAAAGCUCCGGCGCCCAAGGAUGGGUCUGCGGCCUAUCAGGGUUGUAGUGGGUGUAAUGUACCUACUAGCCUACGACGGGUACGGGUUGUGAGAGCAAGAGCCCGGAGAUGGAUUCUGAGACACCAAUCCAGGCCCUACGGGGUGCAGCAGGCGCGAAAACUUUACAAUGCGGGAAACCGUGAUAAGGGAAUCUCGAGUGCCAGCAUAUAAUGUUGGCUGUCCAGAUGCCUAAAAAGCAUCUGUUAGCAAGGGCCGGGCAAGACCGGUGCCAGCCGCCGCGGUAACACCGGCGGCCCGAGUGGUAACCGCUAUUAUUGGGUCUAAAGGGUCUGUAGCCGGCCAGGUAAGUCCCUUGGGAAAUCUGGCGGCUCAACUGUCAGGCUGCUAGGGGAUACUGUUUGGCUUGGGACCGGGAGAGGUGAGAGGUACCUUGGGGGUAGGGGUGAAAUCUUGUGAUCCUCGAGGGACCACCAGUGGCGAAUGCGUCUCACCAGAACGGGUCCGACGGUAAGGGACAAAAGCUAGUGGCACGAACCGCAUUAGAUACCCGGGUAGUCCUAGCCGUAAACGAUGCUCGCUAGGUGUCAGUCACGGUGCGACCGUGAUUGGUGCCGUAGGGAAGCCGUGAAGCGAGCCACCUGGGAAGUAUGGCCGCAAGGCUGAAACUUAAAGGAAUUGGCGGGGGAGCACUAC